Molecule: ribosomal RNA, 574 nt
Filed under: Epidalea calamita (natterjack toad)
Lineage: Eukaryota; Metazoa; Chordata; Amphibia; Anura; Bufonidae
Description: partial 16S ribosomal RNA
Rfam family: Bacterial large subunit ribosomal RNA
Source: RNAcentral
ACAAAAACAUCGCCUCUUGAUUUUCAUAAGAGGUCCAGCCUGCCCAGUGACUCUGUUCAACGGCCGCGGUAUCCUAACCGUGCGAAGGUAGCGUAAUCACUUGUUCUUUAAAUGUGGACUAGUAUGAAUGGCACCACGAAGGUUAUACUGUCUCCUUUUUCUAAUCAGUGAAACUAAUCUCCCCGUGAAGAAGCGGGGAUAAAAAUAUAAGACGAGAAGACCCUAUGGAGCUUUAAACAAAAUAGCACUUGCCACAUAACAUACGAUUUCCUGAAUUUUUUACUUCACCAAGCAAUAUGACUAUAAGUUUUUGGUUGGGGUGACCGCGGAGCACAAUGUAACCUCCACGCUGAAAGAAUACUAUUCUAAGCCAAGAUCUACGCAUCUAAGCAUCAACACAUUGACAUCCAUUGACCCAAUACAUUUGAGCAACGAACCAAGUUACCCUAGGGAUAACAGCGCAAUCCACUUCAAGAGCCCCUAUCGACAAGUGGGUUUACGACCUCGAUGUUGGAUCAGGGUAUCCUAGUGGUGCAGCCGCUACUAAUGGUUCGUUUGUUCAACGAUUAAAACC